This is a long non-coding RNA of Passer domesticus (house sparrow), 571 nucleotides long. RefSeq lists it as uncharacterized. Lineage: Eukaryota; Metazoa; Chordata; Aves; Passeriformes; Passeridae. The record is from RefSeq and is a predicted model, not a curated record. The transcript is spliced from 2 exons.
CAGAGCUCCCCAGGCAGGGCACAGGGGAGGUUUACCACAGAACCAGGGUCUGCUGAAGACCCCACCUCUGAAGAGCUCACGUGCCCAUGUGGAUCCCCAAACACACAGGAGUGGCACCACGGGGGCUGGCAGAGAGCUCACCCCUCUGUGCACCCCAGCCCCGGCUCCUGCAGGACCCCAGGGUCCCCACGCAGGGGCUGUGCCAGGGCUGCUGCUGGCACAGCGGGCACCAGGAGCGGCUCUGUGCCACCCAGCUGUGCCACCCAGCUGUGCAGGGCCACAGCUCACCUGCAGCAGGUCCGGCCCCACCCAGCUCCCACCUCCGAGUUAUCCCACACAGGUGAGUUACUCCAACACCCACGAAACAGGGCAGGCCUGGAGCAGAAACCAGAGGUGCUGAGCAGAAGGAGCCCCCCGCAGCUGUGACUCCCUGGACACUCACCUCGGCGAGGAAACAUUCCAGUUCUCUGGCAAACCACGAGGAGAGAGGACAACAGGGCAGACUGGGCACAGACACCUGCCAGCCUGGGCUGCCUGAGGUUGCCAGGGAGUAGCAGAAGCAUCACUUGGU